CAAUAAUUUCUCGUUAGAGCAUAGUUACACGUCACAUUGAUGACUUAGGGGCUGUUUGGUUAGAUGUAGUUAAAGAAACAGUAUAGUUGGAAGUCCAUGUAAUUGUAAAUGCUGCAGUCAUAACUAUACGUAGUCUGAUUGGUUUUAUGCAGUUGCAACUGCUACAGUUAUAUUUCUUCUGUUUGGUAGUGUGCAGUUGAGAUUUGUAUUUGUAAUUUUGUCUAUUUUUAGAUAGAAAUGUGAGAUAUUUGUAUUUGUAAAUUUUGUCAAUUUUUAGAUAGAAAUGUGAGAUUAUCUCUUCUGAGCAUAAUGUAAUCAUAUUUUAAUUAUUAAUUAAGACUUUUAUAUCUAUAUAUAAUUUAUAUAUUAUAAAAUUAUGUAUAAAUUUAAUAAAUUUUAAAUGUAAAUAUAUUAUAAAUUUAGUCAAAAUAAAAAUUAAAAUAUUAUUAAACUAGCAGACUGAAAAAUAAAAACCGUAUGAAAAAAAUUUAUUGACUCUAACAAAUAUUACUAAAUCCUAUCUGAUUUCAUGAAUAUAUAUUUUUGAGAAAAAAAAUAAAAAAAGAAGCGUUGUCUAGUCAAAUAAUUAAGGCUGCUAAUGUAGAGGAAAAUGACAAAAUCAAAUUUCAAUUAAACUUGUUUAAAAAAUACCAAUAUUCUUUUCGUAAUUCAGUGUUAAUUAUUAAUACAAAGGAAAUACAUAGGAAAAGUUGGCCUGCAAAACUUACGGGUCAAUGGUCGCCAUGCAAUUUGCUUUUGGUUCUAGACUAGAAGAGAAAACUUAGCCACAUAAAGCGCGACAAUUCGGGCUCAAGAUAGAUUUUAGGGUGCGUUCGGUUUGCGCUAUCUUUUUAAGAUUCCUAGUAAUACAAUGAGGAUAAAAAAAUAUGACGAUGUUUGGCUAAAGACACUAAGUGAAAAUGAGAUUCAUUCCAAAGUACUAAUCUUAUUCUUUGCGGGAGAGUGGGUAUCCUCAUAUUAAUGAAUUGGGUAAUCAUAAUAUGUCUAAUCUCUUUUUUUCUCCCUACCCGCCGGCUAGUUAGUAUUAUUAUCCUUUACACUCUAACCUCAUAUCUCUCUCUAAAAUUAUCUUUUUCUCUCUAAACUUCAACUCUUUUUCUUUCUCUAAACUAAGCUCUCUCCCCCUCUUUUUCUAAAAUUUCAACUCCCUCACUCCCUUUAAUCUCGACUCUAUUUUUCUUCUUAUUCUUUAAUUAUGCUCUGUCUCUCUAACCUAUAUUUUCUUUCCAUUUUUUCUAAAAAGAUGUUGAAAUUUUUGGUAGCAUUAUCUAAAAUUAAUUAAAGAAAUAAAUAAAUUAAUUGUAUAUUUUUUGUAAACUUAAAUAACAUGACUAAAUAAUAUGACCGUGCGAACCAAACACAUGAAUACCACAUUCUUAGUAAUAGGAUGAAUAGGAAUAAAAUUAUCGGAUAUCUUUUUACUCCUACUAAUCUUUCAUAGUGCGAACCAAACGUGCCCUUAGUUUGAUAUUAUGUCUAAAUAUUCAUAGAAACUU
Molecule: long non-coding RNA, 1517 nt
Filed under: Ananas comosus (pineapple)
Lineage: Eukaryota; Viridiplantae; Streptophyta; Magnoliopsida; Poales; Bromeliaceae
Description: long non-coding RNA (ACOM_LNC008061)
Source: RNAcentral